UGACAUUGAGUGAAAAGUAUUAAGAAGGUUUAUAACAUUCAUCAAAUGUGGAAAGUUGUGAUGUCUUGGAUAAGACAAAGACCAACUAGGACCAAUUUAUGAAGUGUUUUGAUAAAAACUACACUAACUCUUGAAUAUUUGUUUGUCAAGAAAUGUUUAUUGACAAGAGAAUCUUAUAUGUCAAGGAGUCAGUGGGAGUCUUAAUGGUCUUGAAAGGUUUCAAGAACAAAUCAAAUAAACCUUAUCGAUCAUCACUAGCACACGAGUUGAGGUUUACAACCUAUCGUGUUGACAUUAUUUUGUUUCUGUGCCAAUCCAAUCGAGUUAAUUAUGCAUGUGAGUUCUAUGAGUUCUCAUUUUGAACGCAUAAAAGGCAAAGCACCUUAAUCAAUGAAAGGUACAUUGAUAGGAAAGGGUGAGCUGCUUAACUACUUGGAAGACAUGGUGGGCAGCUGUGCUACCAUAAGGCAAGAAAUCAAGAUUAAGAAAGUUCGGUCCAUAUGAGUUUGAAUUUGUCGUAAACUUUGGUUUUAACAAAUUCACAUGGAUAGGAACACAUACACCGUUUAAAUCUAAGUGUCAUAAGAUUUCCUCCUUCAUGAAAAUGAUUGUGAGGAAAUGCUUUCACUAAGAAAGAUUUUAAGAAGAUAGUGAUUGUAAAAUUGCAUUCUCGAAUUCGAUUAUGGUUACGGUAUCCCUUUCCAUAAUUUGAAUUGUGAGGUUUGGCAAUUAGUCUUAAUUGUUUAGACACACAUAUGAACUAUCGAAGGCAAAGGUGUAUAAGUUCAAGAAGCCUUGAUAAAAGAUUAUCAAAGCACUAAGUAUUAGAAACAUGAACUUAAGAAAUUCAAUAAGUAUUGUUUUUCUGAAAGUUAAGAUGUUUAUGAAUACAUGUCGAAGCUAGUGGGAGCAUAAGUGUUAUGUUUUAUAAUAAUCAUCAUGAUAGUGGGAGCAUAAAUGUUAUGAUUGUAUGAUUAUUAAGGCACGUAUUGCAAGUUGGCAAUAUUAAUUAUAGAAAACAAGAGUUAUACCUUGCAAAGUCGUAAGGGUUGUAAAGUUGUUUUGCUAUAAUUAAGGGAGAGAAUAUUAUGCUUCAUUUCAAAUCUAAAGGAUUAGGUUGAGAAAUGUUAAUAAAUUUAGUCAAAGGUACAUAGUGUGUUCUUAAAAUUUCGAUUAUGAUUACGACAUUCCUCUUCACAAUUCGAAUUUUGAGAACAUAGCAAAUAAAACAUUAUGCGUCGUGUCCCAUACGCUUCGGGUAUAGGAUCGAUUGCAAAUGCUUUAAUGUUUGACCAUUCUAAAAUUUUCCAAAUGUCGAGCGCAUUUAGAGGGAAAAGGGACUAGAAUUGGUUUUGACUAAAAUAAUUAAACAACUAUCAAAGGACAAUCCAAAGUUCGACGAGGAUUGGUCGCUUGUGAGUAGUUGGAAGCAUGGUAUUGGAUGGACCAUAUCGACAUUAUUAUGAAUAGAAAAGAUUCUAUUAAGAAUGAGUUGUCAUAUGGAAAUUAUGGAAAUGUUUCCAUAUUGGAUGGACCAUAUCGACAUUAUUACGAAUAGAUAAGAUUCUAUUAAGAAUGAGUUGUCAUAUGGAAAAUAUGGAAGCGUGUCCAUAUUGGGAAUUGAAUAUUGAAAAUCUAUGUCUAGAUUAGAAACUUUUAUGCAAAAGGAUGUUCAAAGGAAUGUACUUUGAGUGAGAGACAUCAUAUCUAAGGAAUUGUCUUGUAACAAUCUCCGAUAGAGGACUUUGUAAUAUCAUUGGCAAUAGUCUUUGUGACUUUGGUGCAGUGACAUUACGAAAGGAUCAUUGCAUAGAAUGUUAGAAUCUAGCAUAUUCUAUAAGUAGCAAGAAUUUGAUAUUCUUUCACUUAUGAAAAAGGAUUUGGAGUUGUGAAAUGAGAAUGAUUGGAAAUGUGUUCAAUUUGAUCUAUUUCACAAAGUAAGAACCAUAGGUAAACAUUGUGUGCAUGCUAGGAGCAUGGGACAAGUGUUGUAAUUCAAGUAAGAAGUUGAUUACCCGAAACGACAAAUAAUGAGUAAUCAAUAUGGUGAUAAAUAAAAGGUGUUUUAUUUAUACUCAAAGGUUUGAGGCCAUAUGGGAUUAGUAUUAUUCUUGUGUUUCACAUUUGCAUGUUUUGACUUCCAGAAUAAUUGAGUUUAUUAAGAAUAAUCGAAUUAUUCGAACGGGCCACAGUCGUUCAUAUGUUGGAAGUAGAUAUGAAUGAAGACUGUCGUGAAUUGGUGUGUGGAUUGUCUAAAAGAGUAUUAGACAUAAGCAAAUGUUUGCUGCAACGUUCAUGAGUGCUUAUGAAUAUGAUUUGAGCAUUGGAUUAAACCCACGCUCACUUGGAUCACUCCAUGAAUUGUAUCACGAGUGAUUGGUGAGACGAUAACAUCUUAUAUUCUUGAAACCGAGAUGUGUGAGUUGUAUCUUGCAAAUCGGUUGCACAUUGAUAAUAUGUAAACGCACUAGUAACUUGGUGUUAUAAAACAUAUUGUUGUGUGUGAUUCGGUGAGUGAGUGCAAGCAAGCAUUGUAUCAAAGUUUAUCCGUUCCUUUUAUCCAAAGUAGGAUAAAAGCGAUAUCUUUGGGCCCCUCGAUGAUUUAGUGAUGACAAACGUAAAUGCUCGGCCGGGCUAGGGCUAAUUUGAUUUGUUCAAUUAGUCAGUCGUCAUAAAUCGGAAAUCGAGAUAUAGUACAAAGAGAAUGAUUUGAAAUCAUAUCUCAUAUGAUAUCUAGAAUGGAGGAAUAUAUGAUCCCUUAUCUAAGGACACGCGUAUCUGAUAGGAUCAGAGUUGACAGCGGCUUUGGAAAGCUACGAUUGCAGAUCAGGAUCUGAAGUCAUACGCAUAAUAGUUAUUAGACUUAUCCAAGUGGGAGACUGUUGGAUUAGUGUCUAAGUCCAUAACUAUUUUGGUAUGUACUUGACCCGAUGGUGCAUGGUCCUUUUGGGUUGCCUUCACCAAAGCAACUUGAUAGGAUGAAUUAUGGAGAGAAAGGAUUAAAUAUGAUUUAUUAAUAUAUUAUGAGAAUAAUAUAUUAAAGGAGAAAUCAUAUUGUUUAAUUAAUAUUAGUCAAGAAUUAAUUGGUAAUUAGUUUUGUGACUAAAAGAGAUUAAUUAAACUUAAGGGACUGGAAUUGUAAUUAUAAGAUAAUUGCAAUUUGGGCCAUGGAUUGCCUUAUAUUAUAAGGUGGACGAAUUCUAUGGGGGAAGCCCAUAUGAAAUCGUCCAAGGCCUUAAGGAAAGGGCUCCAUGGGUUGCUUAGGGCUUAAGCAUCCAAAUUAGGGUUUCCUUGUUAGAUAACCCUAAUAGCCUCACUAUAUAUAGAACCCUUAAGGCUCAAAAACGUGGGGAACUUCUUUUCUAGGGUUAGAACACGUUUUGGGCAGCCUCCAUCCUCUCUCCUCUUCAUCCUCUUGCUUAUGGUGUUUGUGAGCCAUUAGAGGAGUGACACUUGUGACUCUAAGCCUUCCAAAGUCAAUUCAAGGAGGAAUUGGGAUUGUUAUUGCUACAUAACAAUCAAGGUAAUAUCAUAAACCUAAUUAUAUGUUAAUAUUGAUUUCCAUAUGCUAGAAUUAGGGUUUAUAGUCUUGGAUUCAAAGCAUGUACAAUAGAGAAACCUAGAUCCAAGCAUUAGGGUUUGUAUGAGCACAUAGGAUGUCUUAUGACCAAAACCCAUCAGUGGUAUCAGAGCCUAGAUUGGUUUCUAUUGUAUUGAUGCUUGAUAUGUUUGAAAAUUUCGAUUUUUUGGUUUCUGGAGGCUGGACUCGCCGAGUCCAUGGCUGAACUCGCCGAGUCCAUGCAGACUCGACGAGUCCAAGCCUGACUCGACGAGUCAACUCGUCAGAUGGAGGGUAUUUCGCGAUUUCUUGCUGUUUUUGCUUAUGGAUAGUUACCUUAUCAUAUUAGAUCAAUAUAAAUCCGAUUUUUUGAUAUAUAUGACUAUAUUUUUGAUCUAAUUGAAGAUAUUUAUCAAUUAAUAAGAUAAUUGUUUCCUUAUGUGAUAAUUGAUUAAUUAUUUUGACUAAAUUGAUAAAUUGUUUUGCAAGAAAUCAUUAAAUAAAUCAAAUAUGGAUAAUUAUGUGAUUAAAUGUUAAUUUAGAUUAUUUGUUAUUUGAUCCUUGUUGUUAUGAAAAGUUUCAUAUUUUCCCCUUUAGGUUUUAUAGUUUAAAUUUGAACCCAAAAGUUUUGUUGUUUUGAAAUUUAAAUAGUUAAAACCCUAAUGUUUUGAAAAAGGUUUCAAAACUUGCCCUCAAGUUUUGGAAUUUAAAUUUUGAUUAAAUGGUUUAAUUUUGAUGUAUAUUUAAAUUCUAAACCCUAAUGUGUUGAAAUGUUUCAAAACUUGCCCUCAAGUUUUGGAAUUUAAAAGUUGAUUAAAAGUUUAAUUAGGAAUGUUAAAUUCUAAAACUCUAGUAUAGUUUUGAAAAAGUUCAAAUCACACCCUUAUGGUUUUAUUAAUUAAUUAAGGUGUAUAAUUAAAAGAGGUUUAAUAAAUCCAUAAAAGUUUAGGUUUACAAUUUAAUUGAAUUAAAAGUAUAAUUGUUAAAUUAGACCACCUAGUAUUUUAAAAGUAUAAAAUACACCCUAUACUAUAUAUAACAUUAAAAGUCUAACAUUAUAUAUAUGUAUGAGUAAAAGUCAGUCUUACCGUUAGUAGGCCUCAUUCACGAAGCUGGUCUAUAAGGGGUGUUUAAGGAAAUUGCCUAUAAAAUGGCGAUUGAAUGGGUAUCCACUCUUACCCACCGCACUCUUGACUAGUGGAGGGUCGUUAGCCGAACGGGUAGGAUAGGACGAAACCUUCCAUUAUAAGUAUAAUGAAUUAUUAAAGUAACUAAAUGUUUUCAUAAAAUUCCCAAUCUUAGUUACUUAGGCAAAAGUGAAUUGAUGCAAUUCCAUGAAAUUACACUUUGUGCCCUUGCGAAGACGUUAGUGGAGCGUGUGUGGUUUACCGGCACACUAAAUGGUUCUAAGCAAAGGUAGCAAAGGGUGACUCAAUGUUUGUCAUAGUUCGGUGGAGCGUGUGUGGUUUACCGGCACAUCGAAUAGGUGACUGUAACAUGUGAGGGCACCAUGUAAGUUUGCAUGGUUAUUCACACCCGCUUUGUGAUCCUCGGCAUCCCAGUCACAAACAAGAGGGGCAUAUCGAGAUUUAAACAUGCCAUUGAAAGUUCAAUGAAUCUCAAAGGAUCUAGGAGUUUUCAUAGAUUUAAAACUUAAAUUUCUUUUUCGUUUUUCAUGGUGGAAAUUAGUGAAUCGUCAUUCACUUACCUUCAAAUAUUCUGCAAUUAGGGUUACGGCAUCCCUCUCCCGAGUUGUAGAAUAUUGUGUUGGGUCCUAGCCUUAGUAUCUCAUUUGGGUGAUUUACUAAGGACUCAAUCAAUCAACUAACUUGAAUUCGUUUUCUCCCGUUUUGUAGAUGUCAAAGUUCGACAACUAUGGUCUUCCCAAAUCCCGUGGAACAAGCAUUCCACAUGAAGAUGAUAUUCCACGAUUCGAUCGAGGAACAAGAAAUCAUGCUUCACUUCCUCCUCCUCCUCCAAUUAUUCUCCCUAACCCACAAGUUCAAAGGCUUGAAAAGUUCAAGAUCACUCAAGCCCUUUUGGCAAGUAAACAUAAAGAAGGAAAGUCGGUGUGUGCACACGUCCUAGGGAUGAAGUCACACAUUGAUAGGUUAAGAAUGUUGGGAUCCGUUGUCUGUGAGGAAAUGGCUGUUGAUUGGGUUCUUCAGUCACUUCCUAACUCAUAUAGUGAGUUCGUAAGAGAGUACUAUAUGAUGAACCGCGACGUGACCCUUAUAGAUCUCACCUAUAUGCUUAUUGCUGCUGAAUCAGCAAUGGUUUGGCGCAAUAGAAAAGCAAAGUUGAUUGGUGAAUCUGCCUUCAAGACCUCUAUGGAUAUAGACAAUGGCAACGAAAGACAUGCUAUGAUCGAAAAGUUUGAUCAUAAGAGAAAGGCAAUGUCUGAAGUAGUUCCAUGUCAUGUUCCAAAAGAGUCAAUUUGCUUUUAUUGCCAAGAGAAAGGGCAUUGGAGACGAAGCUGCCCCAUUUACCUAAGAGAUCUAAGAGAUGGGAGAGUCGAAACGUAUGGCUCUAAUAUAGGUAAAAUCCAUUAACUAACUCUUUUAAGCUUCUAUUCUAGAUUCUUAAUACAUAAUGUGAUAAGAUUACAAUUGAUGUUUUGUAGGAUCGAAGCAUCCCUCUCCCGAGUUGUAGAAUAUUGUGUUGGGUCCUAGCCAUGAAGGAAUGGAUUUCGAUCGCAUUUCUCGAAGAUUAGAUUCUUGAGCUACUACUUAGAGUUAGAAUUAGAUUGCUAAGAAAGAUGUAUUAGCAUAAGUUUUUCAAUGAAUUGCAUUGUAAGGACAAAUUUUUCCGCAAUAAAAUAAAUUUUGAUUUUAAAUUUUAUUUAUUUAUCCUUACAAUGGCGUGUAUGAAAAAUUGAUGUUAAAAUGUUUCUAUUAUUAGCAAUAAUGGAUUUGGUUCUUAUUAUGUUAUUUAUGGAAAGUCGAGAAUUUACCAAAUAGGGAGAGUUUCUCAUCGCCCAAGUUUCAAUUGGACAUAAACUUGGAAUCAUGCAACUUGGUUGCACGAUGAAUGAGAAAUUUCAUAUUUGGAAAUUAGACUAAUUCAUUGACAAAGUGUCAAGUGAAGGACUAGGAGAUCGAGUACACAAAGUUGCGUGUUGAUCAAGUCCACCAUAAGAGUAACAAAGAUAUUCGUCAUGAUUUACUAAAGGUUUAGUAAAUAUGAUUAUACUUACAUGAUUAGGUGUAAUUCUGAAUUGUUUAAAAGGUUUAAAUCAAUAGCAGAACGAAUAAGAAGAAUCAAGUAGGCAGAAAGAUAAAAGUUUCUCCAUUCUAAGAAGAAGGGAGAGUAGCUUUUAUGCUUUAUGAUAGGUCUUAAUGAUUAAGAACCAUAUCUCAAUUGAUCCACUAAGUGAGUCUUAGUGCAAUUGUAUGUUGGAGAAGAGGAAUCAAGGAUUGAAGAAAUGGUUAAAUCAAAAAGUCAAUCAUACUUCGUUCCAAAACAAGUCGUAGAGUUAAGAUUGUGACAAUGAGUGACAAAUAUUAAGAAGGUUUAUAACAUUCAUCAAUUGUGGAAAGUUGUGAUGUCUUGGAUAAGACAAAGACCAACUAAGACCAAAGUUAUGAAGUGUUUUGUCUUGAUAAAAGCUACACUAACUCUUGAAUAUUUAUUUGUCAAGAAAUGUUUUGACAAGAGAAUCUUAUAUGUCAAGGAGUCAGUGGGAGUCUUAAUGGUAUUGAAAGGUUUCAAGAACAAAUCAAAUAAACCUUAUCAAUCAACACUAGCACACGAGUUGAGGUUUACAACCUAUCGUGUUGACAUCAUUUUGUUUCUGUGCCAAUCCAAUCGAGCUAAUUAUGCAUGUGAGUUCUAUGAGUUCUCAUUUUGAACGCAUAAAAGGCAAAGCACCUUAAUCAAUGAAAGGUACAUUGAUAGGAAAGGGUGAGUUGCUUAACUACUUGGAAGACAUGGUGGGCAGCUGUGCUACCAUAUGGAUUGUAAUGUUAAAACAAUGUACUUGAAGUGAAUAAUGUCAGUUGUAAUAUAUUGAUGCAUGGUGAUGUUUAUAUUAUGAUUCAUGUAUAUUCAUUGUGAUGAUAUUGAAUUUAAGUCACACGAGCCCUCAGAUGUUUCCUCCAUCUGGUUUGGGGGUAUGAUAGAGUCCGACUUGGAUAAAUGCUAUGAAGUGAGUUACUUGGUUUAGGGAACCAUGUUCGAUGUAGCAUAUGAAUUUAG
RNAcentral lists this long non-coding RNA (7756 nucleotides) under Lactuca sativa (garden lettuce). RNAcentral describes it as "long non-coding RNA (LSAT_LNC007446)". The record is from RNAcentral. Lineage: Eukaryota; Viridiplantae; Streptophyta; Magnoliopsida; Asterales; Asteraceae.